Molecule: ribosomal RNA, 253 nt
Filed under: uncultured bacterium
Lineage: Bacteria
Description: partial 16S ribosomal RNA
Rfam family: Bacterial small subunit ribosomal RNA
Source: RNAcentral
UACGUAGGGGGCAAGCGUUGUCCGGAAUCAUUGGGCGUAAAGAGCGUGUAGGCGGCCCGAUAAGUCCGCCGUGAAAGUCCAGGGCUCAACCCUGGAAUGCCGGUGGAAACUGUCGGGCUGGAGUCCGGAAGAGGCGAGUGGAAUUCCUGGUGUAGCGGUGAAAUGCGCAGAUAUCAGGAGGAACACCAAUGGCGAAGGCAGCUCGCUGGGACGGUACUGACGCUGAGACGCGAAAGCUAGGGGAGCGAACAGG